AGUGAACGCUGGCGGUAGGCCUAACACAUGCAAGUCGAACGGCAGCACAGUAAGAGCUUGCUCUUACGGGUGGCGAGUGGCGGACGGGUGAGGAAUACAUCGGAAUCUACUUUUUCGUGGGGGAUAACGUAGGGAAACUUACGCUAAUACCGCAUACGACCUACGGGUGAAAGCAGGGGAUCUUCGGACCUUGCGCGAUUGAAUGAGCCGAUGUCGGAUUAGCUAGUUGGUGGGGUAAAGGCCCACCAAGGCGACGAUCCGUAGCUGGUCUGAGAGGAUGAUCGGCCACACUGGAGCUGAGACACGGUCCAGACUCCUGCGGGAGGCAGCAGUGGGGAAUAUUGGACAAUGGGCGGAAGCCUGAUCCAGCCAUACCGCGUGGGUGAAGAAGGCCUUCGGGUUGUAAAGCCCUUUUGUUGGGAGAGAAAAGCAGCAGGUUAAUACCCCGCUGUUCUGACGGUACCCAAAGAAUAAGCACCGGCUAACUUCGUG
This 492-nucleotide ribosomal RNA is filed under the name uncultured bacterium. RNAcentral's name for it is "partial 16S ribosomal RNA". It matches the Rfam family "Bacterial small subunit ribosomal RNA", at positions 29 to 507 of the family's 1533-position model. The record is from RNAcentral.